AAAUUUUCAAAUACCACCCUAUAGAUUUACACUUUCUUAUUUUGGUAUCCUGUGAUUUAUAAUGUAUCAAUUUAGUAUCUUGUGGUUUUAUUUUUCUCUUUUUGUUAUCAUUUUCACUAUUUUUUUUUUUCGUUAAAUCAAUGACAAAAUUAAAACUAAAGUAUACUCAAGUGAAUAUUCGAUGAAUCUAGAUUGAGUAUUUGAAGUUUUUUGUAUAUAAUUUAGCGAAAUAUUAACGGAGGAGCUGACGAAAAGAAAAAAAUGAAACCACAUAUUCUAAAUUGAUGCACUUUAAAUCACAGAGUCUAAAGUGAGAAACUGCGAAACCACGGGGUGGUAUUGGAAGUUUGUCGAUAAUAAUAAGGGUAAAUUGUACUGCUGGUCCCUAAUCUUUAUCAAUUAUUUCACUUUGAUCCCCAAACAUUUCGGCUAAAUUAUGAGAAGCUCCUCAUGUUUCAUCUGUAUUAAUUAUCCUCUUAUAUUUUAGAGAUACAACUUGCUGUAAACAUAUCGAAUAGCAAAUAUAUUUCUAUAAAGCUCGACUUUUUAUUUUUACUACUAUAAAAAUUCAGUGAUAUUCAUAUUUGCCCCUCUGUUUUGCUAUCGUUAGAGCAUUGUUUAUUUUUUAACAGCAGAUAAGUGAAAUAAUAUUUUUGUCCUUAUAAUUAAAUAUAGCCCUCCAAAAGCUCAAAUUGUUAGAAUUAUGCAAAAAUAUCCUUUGAAAAAAAUAUUUUAUCCAAUAAUAUAAGAAGNAGGCGCGGGCGAGGGCGCGGGAGCGCAGCGCGGGCGCGCAGCGCGGCGCUGGGCGGGCUCGGCGCUGCGUGGGGUGGGUCUUCACGGGGUCCGCGAGGCCAAAGUGGCCCCGUGAACCACAUGAUAGGGAGGUCCACGGUGGACCUCCCUCUCAUUCUUUAUAUAUUUAUUUAUUAUAUAUAGUAUUUUAUUUUUAUAUAGAUGUAUCAUUAUAUAAUAAUUUAUUAUAUAAUUUACCAUUUAUUUUUAUAAAAUAUAAAAUAUAUAAAUAAAUGUUAAAUAAUUUAGACUAUCUCUUCUCAUUCACUAACUGCUGGAGGACUACGAUACCUACUAAAAUUAUUUCACUAAGUAAUGGGGGACUACUAUGUCUACUAAAAUUUUUUGAUAUACUUAUUGCAUUAUUUAAAUUCUGAAAUUAAUUUUUAUAACUAAUUUUUAAAAUUAAAUUUUAAAAUAAUUACCCGCAGCAUCCCGUGGGUCCCUUAACUAGUGUUCAUACUAAAAGUCCAAAAUUUGCUA
This 1275-nucleotide long non-coding RNA is filed under the name Ananas comosus (pineapple). Its description in RNAcentral is "long non-coding RNA (ACOM_LNC009331)". The record is from RNAcentral. Lineage: Eukaryota; Viridiplantae; Streptophyta; Magnoliopsida; Poales; Bromeliaceae.